AGGGAUAAGGUAGAAAAGUGGUCUCUUUACUUUGUUGAAAGUGAGAUUCAACUUUUCUAGCUCAUUACCU
This is a non-coding RNA of Cordylochernes scorpioides, 70 nucleotides long. NCBI's taxonomy places the organism in Eukaryota, Metazoa, Arthropoda, Arachnida, Pseudoscorpiones, Chernetidae. The record is from the annotation of a GenBank genome assembly.